AUCAUAUAGUUAGGAGAGAAAGGCAAGAGCAGACAUACAAAUUACAUUUUCAUUUUUAUUUUGUACACCCUCAAUUAAUCAUUUUGUCACACAUACACACACACACACACACCUAGUCAGAUUGAACACAAAGCCAAUUAGUUAUUACGCAUAAAUUUUUUUUUUAAUUUUUUAUUUUUUCUAAAUAUUUAUUUAAAAUUCGAAUUUGAAAAAGGCACUAAAGUCACUUAGAAAGAGUUGUUCAAGUUUUAUCGAAUAUAUCUCGCGGUACAGUCGCAAAUCAAGUGUUUAUUGUCAGUAUAAAGAAAAGCACACGUUGCAGUUAACUGCAAGUUUUACAGUGGUGGCCAUCGCAAAGGGUAAAAAAAUAAGAACUUUUCUAGAACUAAGCUUUAGAAAUCGGUUUGAGCGCGCGUUGAACAGUGUGUCCAAGCCGAUUUUCGAAGCGAACAAAUUCCAAAUCAAACAAAAAAAAAACGUGUGUACGCAUCUGAGUUUUCAACGAUUAAAAAGCGAAAAGACAAAUGAUAAAUACUAAUUGUUAAAAAUACAGAUGUGUUGUUGUUUCGGGUAUUUGUAUGUGUUAUCCGUUCAGUGACACGAAAAAGAGUGGGACAAAAAUAAAGACAACAAAAUAAAAACACUAUAAAAUAAGAACAAAAGUUGGUGUAACGUUAUACAAGCCGAAAAAGAAAAAUAAAAAAAUGAAAAGAAAAACCAACAAUAUAUUAAAGGCAUGUAAAAUGUUGCAAAAAAAGAAGCUUAGAUUAUAAAGUCGAAAAGAAAAAAAAAACAUAAAAAUGGUAACGUUUUACGUGCCGGUCAAUAAACUUUAGAAAAUAUAGUUAGUUUAAAAACAAAAUAUGAUUGUAACGUUUUACGCGCCUUAACGA
This is a long non-coding RNA of Drosophila grimshawi, 893 nucleotides long. RefSeq lists it as uncharacterized. The record is from RefSeq and is a predicted model, not a curated record. Lineage: Eukaryota; Metazoa; Arthropoda; Insecta; Diptera; Drosophilidae. The transcript is spliced from 3 exons.